GAUGAACGCUGGCGGCGUGCCUAAUACAUGCAAGUCGAGCGAACAGACGAGGAGCUUGCUCCUCUGACGUUAGCGGCGGACGGGUGAGUAACACGUGGAUAACCUACCUAUAAGACUGGGAUAACUUCGGGAAACCGGAGCUAGUACCGGAUAAUAUGUUGAAUCGCAUGGUUCAACAGUGGAAGACGGUCUUGCUGUCACUUAUAGAUGGAUCCGCGCCGCAUUAGCUAGUUGGUAAGGUAACGGCUUACCAAGGCAACGAUGCGUAGCCGACCUGAGAGGGUGAUCGGCCACACUGGAACUGAGACACGGUCCAGACUCCUACGGGAGGCAGCAGUAGGGAAUCUUCCGCAAUGGGCGAAAGCCUGACGGAGCAACGCCGCGUGAGUGAAGAAGGUCUUCGGAUCGUAAAACUCUGUUAUUAGGGAAGAACAAAUGUGUAAGUAACUAUGCACGUCUUGACGGUACCUAAUCAGAAAGCCACGGCUAACUACGUG
Molecule: ribosomal RNA, 497 nt
Filed under: uncultured bacterium
Lineage: Bacteria
Description: partial 16S ribosomal RNA
Rfam family: Bacterial small subunit ribosomal RNA
Source: RNAcentral